GAUCACUCCAAAGUAGCUUGGUUUGCAGGGCCUUGCCCCUAUAAGCCAAAUCUAAUGGGUUUCAGAUAUGUUGUUCAAUGGUGGGAGUCUGUUGUACAUCAUUUCAGUAAUGAUCAAAAGAUGCUGGCUGCUAUAGCUUUUUCAUGCUGGGAGAUUUGGAAGUCUAGGAACAAAGCUGUCUUUAAUAAUUGUGUUCCAAAUCCAAUGGCUUCUGUUAAGAAUAUUUUUAGGUGUGUUAACGAGUUAGAUCAGAUUACAAACUCAGCUAAUGCGACCCUUUCUUCUUCUCGUAAUGAUCUGCAGAUUCAUAGAUGGAUUCCACCUCCACAAGGGUCUAUCAAACUCAAUUCUGAUGUUGCGUGGAAAGGUGGGAAUAAAACCGCAGCAAUAGCAGAGAUAGCUCAUAAUUCACAAG
Molecule: unclassified non-coding RNA, 415 nt
Filed under: Hevea brasiliensis (rubber tree)
Lineage: Eukaryota; Viridiplantae; Streptophyta; Magnoliopsida; Malpighiales; Euphorbiaceae
Source: RNAcentral